GAGUUUGAUCCUGGCUCAGGAUGAACGCUGGCGGCGUGCUUAACACAUGCAAGUCGAACGGGGAUGCCAUUUUCGAGGCGGUUAGUUUACUAAGCGCCAAGAUGCUGGCAUCUUAGUGGCGGACGGGUGAGUAACGCGUGGGUAACCUGCCUUAUACAGGGGGAUAACACUUAGAAAUAGGUGCUAAUACCGCAUAAGCGCACGGGGCUGCAUGGCCCAGUGUGAAAAACUCCGGUGGUAUAAGAUGGACCCGCGUCUGAUUAGCUUGUUGGCGGGGUAACGGCCCACCAAGGCGACGAUCAGUAGCCGGCCUGAGAGGGUGGACGGCCACAUUGGGACUGAGACACGGCCCAAACUCCUACGGGAGGCAGCAGUGGGGAAUAUUGGACAAUGGGGGGAACCCUGAUCCAGCGACGCCGCGUGAGUGAAGAAGUAUUUCGGUAUGUAAAGCUCUAUCAGCAGGGAAGAAAGAAAUGACGGUACCUGACUAAGAAGCCCCGGCUAACUACGUGCCAGCAGCCGCGGUAAUACGUAGGGGGCAAGCGUUAUCCGGAUUUACUGGGUGUAAAGGGAGCGUAGACGGUUAUGCAAGUCUGGAGUGAAAGGCGGGGGCCCAACCCCCGGGCUGCUUUGGAAACUGUGUAACUGGAGUGCAGGAGAGGUAAGUGGAAUUCCUAGUGUAGCGGUGAAAUGCGUAGAUAUUAGGAGGAACACCAGUGGCGAAGGCGGCUUA
This 733-nucleotide ribosomal RNA is filed under the name uncultured bacterium. RNAcentral describes it as "bacterial SSU rRNA". It matches the Rfam family "Bacterial small subunit ribosomal RNA", at positions 9 to 728 of the family's 1533-position model. The record is from RNAcentral.